This 234-nucleotide ribosomal RNA is filed under the name uncultured bacterium. RNAcentral describes it as "partial 16S ribosomal RNA". It matches the Rfam family "Bacterial small subunit ribosomal RNA", at positions 118 to 347 of the family's 1533-position model. The record is from RNAcentral.
UGGGUAACCUACCUUAUAGAGGGGAAUAGCCUUCCGAAAGGAAGAUUAAUACCGCAUAACAUUGCAGUUUCGCAUGAAGCAGCAAUUAAAGGAGAAAUCCGCUAUAAGAUGGGCCCGCGGCGCAUUAGCUAGUUGGUGAGGUAAAGGCUCACCAAGGCGACGAUGCGUAGCCGACCUGAGAGGGUGAUCGGCCACAUUGGGACUGAGACACGGCCCAGACUCCUACGGGAGCAG